Gossypium raimondii (Peruvian cotton) is the source of this 1963-nucleotide RNA transcript. It is a transcript of the gene named ABSCISIC ACID-INSENSITIVE 5-like protein 5, with no coding region annotated. The record is from RefSeq and is a predicted model, not a curated record. Lineage: Eukaryota; Viridiplantae; Streptophyta; Magnoliopsida; Malvales; Malvaceae. The transcript has 3 exons.
UUUUGGAGAAUUAAUAAACUAAUUUGCUGUAUUUUAUUGUGUUUGUGUUUUUGGGGUUUGGUUGGUUUUUUUCUUAACCAAAGAAAAAGUUUAUGUUUUUCACAUUCCAUUUUUAUGUUUAUGUUUUGAUUGUUCUUCUUAGUUUUUCUGAUCUUGAUUGAAAGGGUUUUUAUAGAAAGCCUGAAAGUCCCAAAUUUUGGAAAAAAAAAACAUAGAAAUCUUUAAUUUUGGGGCCAAAUUUGUUAACACUGUUUUAUCCAGAUUUGAAUGGAGGCUAACAUGAAGUUGAAGAACUUUGGAAGUAACCAACCACUACCAGCUGACGGCGGUGGGAAUACUCUGUUAAGUAGACAGCCAUCGAUCUAUUCUCUAACCUUUGAUGAGUUUCAAAGCACUAUGGGUGGAAUAGGCAAAGAUUUUGGGUCUAUGAACAUGGAUGAGUUGUUGAAGAACAUUUGGAGUGCUGAAGAAACUCAAACAAUGGCUUUUUACAGUGGUGGCCUGGACGCAUAUGGAGGGCUACAAAGGCAAGGGUCUUUGACUUUGCCAAGGACGCUAAGCCAGAAGACUGUUGAUGAGGUUUGGAAAGAUAUUUCAAAGGAGUAUUCAAUAGGGAAAGAUGGGAUUGGAACUGCAGCAGGGACUAAUCAUGUGCCCCAAAGGUACCAAACAUUAGGGGAGAUGACUUUGGAAGAGUUCUUGGUGAAGGCUGGUGUGGUAAGAGAGGACACCCAAUUUGCUGGGAAGGAUAAUAAUGUUAAUGGAGGGUUCUUUGAUGGGUUUCAACAAGGUGGUAGAACUCCAAAUUUCAUGGGAAAUAGGCUUUCUGAAGUUGGUUUUCAGGCUUCUAAUUUGCCUUUGAAUGUUAAUGGAGUUAAAUCAAACCAGCACCAGUUACCUCAGCAGCAACAACCAAUUUUUCCUAGGCAACCUGCUGUAGGAUUUGGAAUUCAGAUGCCUUUACAAAGUGGUGGUCAGUUGGGGAGUCCUGGAAAUAGAGGGGGAAUUACUGGGAUGGGGGAUCAGGGACCACCUAAUGGUCUUAUUCAGGGUGGAAAGAUGGGGAUGGUUGGUUUAGGAGGGCCAGUCAGUGUUGCAACUGGAUCACCUGCUAACCACUUCUCAUCAGAUGGGAUAGGGAAGAGUAGUGCAGAUACUUCCUCUGUCUCGCCGGUUCCUUAUGUGUUAAAUGGAAGUUCUAGGGGUAGGAAAUGCAGUGCUGUGGAGAAGGUUGCCGAGAGACGGCAAAGGAGAAUGAUAAAGAACAGAGAAUCUGCUGCAAGAUCUCGAGCUCGAAAGCAGGUGACUAUAUGUCUUAUUUACUUCAUUCUAGUGUAAGAUAGGCGAUUUAGAGUAUGCAUUGUUAAUCAUCUUUGAACUCAAUAAUAUCGGUCUGCAUAUAUGUCUCAAAAGAUUUUGAACUCUUCUUUUAAUACACUUGAAGCAACAUGAUAACCAAAUUUCGUCUCUUAUUACGGAUUAAUGAGUAUUACAAACCAUUGACCUUGUGCUUUUAUCAUCUAUGACAUGCUGCAUGCCUGCAUCUCAAACUUCAUGAAAGAUUAUGCGGCAGUGUGGUAAUGUGAUAGCAAUCUGACAUGAGAAGAAAGAUUUUGACAAGUCAAGGUCAUGAGCAGUUAUAAGGAUUCGUAUUGCGGGGUAACGGAGCAUUUGUUUCUACAUGAGAAGUACGAAGCUGUAUGAUAUUAUAAGAAUCAAUAAAACCAUUGAUUAAGGUUGACAUUCCUUGACCUAGUUCAUUUUGUUAUAAACAUGGCGAAGCAAAACGGUUCUAUCCUAAAAUAACUGGCUUAUACUACGGAGUUGGAAGCAAAGCUUGCGAAGCUAAAAGAGGAGAACGAAGAAUUGCGGAAGAAACACGCAGAAUUAAUGGAAAUGCAGAAAAAUCAGGUCAUGGAGAUGAACAUGCAGCAAGGACCUAAGAAGCAAUGUUUGCGAAGAA